AAGGGGAGCAAUCCCUGAGUAAAGUGGCGACCGGGUGAGUAACACGUGACUAACCUACCCUCGAGUGUGGAAUAACAUCGGGAAACCGAUGCUAAUACCGCAUAACAUCGCAAGAUCAAAGGAGCAAUCCGCUUGAGGAGGGGGUCGCGGCUGAUUAGCUAGUUGGCGGGGUAACGGCCCACCAAGGCGAAGAUCGGUAGCCGGCCUGAGAGGGCGCACGGCCACACUGGAACUGAAACACGGUCCAGACUCUUACGGGAGGCAGCAGUGGGGAAUUUUGCGCAAUGGGGGAAACCCUGACGCAGCAACGCCGCGUGGAGGAUGAAGCCCCUUGGG
This 336-nucleotide ribosomal RNA is filed under the name uncultured bacterium. RNAcentral describes it as "bacterial SSU rRNA". It matches the Rfam family "Bacterial small subunit ribosomal RNA", at positions 72 to 422 of the family's 1533-position model. The record is from RNAcentral.